Long non-coding RNA from Ostrinia nubilalis (European corn borer), 118 nucleotides. RefSeq lists it as uncharacterized. The transcript has 2 exons. The record is from RefSeq and is a predicted model, not a curated record. NCBI's taxonomy places the organism in Eukaryota, Metazoa, Arthropoda, Insecta, Lepidoptera, Crambidae.
AUCAUGCGCGUGGGCAUUCUUGCGCUUUGCGCACAGCUCGCAUGGAUCAUCACCGUUGCAGAUUCCAGAUACGAUCGGCAGGAUAUGAUUCAGACCGGACCAAGCUUCUCACAUGUAA